CGGGAGAUAGCUGGUUCUCCCCGAAAGCUAUUUAGGUAGCGCCUCGUGAAUUCAUCUCCGGGGGUAGAGCACUGUUUCGGCUAGGGGGCCAUCCCGGCUUACCAACCCGAUGCAAACUGCGAAUACCGGAGAAUGUUAUCACGGGAGACACACGGCGGGUGCUAACGUCCGUCGUGAAGAGGGAAACAACCCAGACCGCCAGCUAAGGUCCCAAAGUCAUGGUUAAGUGGGAAACGAUGUGGGAAGGCCCAGACAGCCAGGAUGUUGGCUUAGAAGCAGCCAUCAUUUAAAGAAAGCGUAAUAGCUCACUGGUCGAGUCGGCCUGCGCGGAAGAUGUAACGGGGCUAAACCAUGCAC
Molecule: ribosomal RNA, 357 nt
Filed under: Salmonella enterica subsp. enterica serovar Virchow
Lineage: Bacteria; Pseudomonadati; Pseudomonadota; Gammaproteobacteria; Enterobacterales; Enterobacteriaceae
Description: partial 23S ribosomal RNA
Rfam family: Bacterial large subunit ribosomal RNA
Source: RNAcentral